This 247-nucleotide ribosomal RNA is filed under the name uncultured bacterium. RNAcentral's name for it is "partial 16S ribosomal RNA". It matches the Rfam family "Bacterial small subunit ribosomal RNA", at positions 99 to 334 of the family's 1533-position model. RNAcentral also lists the same sequence under 1 other name. The record is from RNAcentral.
CGCACGGGUGAGUAACGCGUGGAUAAUCUACCCUUAAGAUGGGGAUAACGGCUGGAAACGGUCGCUAAUACCGAAUACGCUCCCGAUUUUAUCGUUGGGGGGAAAGAUGGCCUCUGCUUGCAAGCUAUCGCUUAAGGAUGAGUCCGCGUCCCAUUAGCUAGUUGGCGGGGUAACGGCCCACCAAGGCAACGAUGGGUAGCCGGUCUGAGAGGAUGACCGGCCACACUGGAACUGGAACACGGUCCAG